RNAcentral lists this ribosomal RNA (492 nucleotides) under uncultured bacterium. RNAcentral describes it as "partial 16S ribosomal RNA". It matches the Rfam family "Bacterial small subunit ribosomal RNA", at positions 29 to 507 of the family's 1533-position model. The record is from RNAcentral.
AGUGAACGCUGGCGGUAGGCCUAACACAUGCAAGUCGAACGGCAGCACAGUAAGAGCUUGCUCUUACGGGUGGCGAGUGGCGGACGGGUGAGGAAUACAUCGGAAUCUACUUUUUCGUGGGGGAUAACGUAGGGAAACUUACGCUAAUACCGCAUACGACCUACGGGUGAAAGCAGGGGAUCUUCGGACCUUGCGCGAUUGAAUGAGCCGAUGUCGGAUUAGCUAGUUGGCGGGGUAAAGGCACACCAAGGCGACGAUCCGUAGCUGGUCUGAGAGGAUGAUCAGCCACACUGGAACUGAGACACGGUCCAGACUCCUACGGGGGGCAGCAGUGGGGAAUAUUGGACAAUGGGCGCAAGCCUGAUCCAGCCAUACCGCGUGGGUGAAGAAGGCCUUCGGGUUGUAAAGCCCUUUUGUUGGGAAAGAAAAGCAGCAGGUUAAUACCCCGCUGUUCUGACGGUACCCAAAGAAUAAGCACCGGCUAACUUCGUG